RNAcentral lists this long non-coding RNA (4384 nucleotides) under Setaria italica (foxtail millet). Its description in RNAcentral is "long non-coding RNA (SITA_LNC000256)". Lineage: Eukaryota; Viridiplantae; Streptophyta; Magnoliopsida; Poales; Poaceae. The record is from RNAcentral.
GGGCAUCUGUCUAUUUAGAGUUGAGGGGUAUGAGCAGAGAAGGUAGACCAUAAUCCACUUCUCUAUCUGAAGUGUGCUUUCUCUAUCUUAUAUUCAUCUUGUGUGCGCUUGAACAUUCAAAUCGAGCCAUCGCCCAUAUGGCUACUAUAGGCCAUAUAGGCAUGUGAGGUAUCACGAUUACAAUUUAUACGGAGUAGCUCCGUUGACUUAGUGUUACAGCAAGUGGGCUGGCUGCAGGCUUAGGCUCACGAGCACCGUAGCUCGUGAACGGUGCCACGAAUAGGAGUAGUUGGUUUGUUAGGAAGGAAAUAAGUUAGAUGGAUUUGGUUAGAAAUAAGGUUGUUUAGAUUAGAUUGAGUCAAUUAGAUGGCUAGCUAUAUAAGCACAACCGCACCAUCCAUUGUAAUCAAGGAUAUAAGCACAACCGCACCAUCCAUUGUAAUCAAGGAAGAAGUAGAGAAUUAAUCUUGGAGCCUCCAGCAUGAGGGCGAGAUCCCAUCUACUACCUUCCCUAUCCAGUAAAGUAACCAUAUCAACUUUGAUAUUCAGAGCCUUAGAUCCUACGACCCUGCCAUCAAAAAAAAAUUCCCCCUACGAUAGAUUAGAUUGAUUCCAUACUACUCCCACAAAUCCUCAAAACCCAUCCAGAAAUUACAUCUGCACAUCAACAACCAGCCAUGGCACCUCCUUGGUUGAGGGCAUCAGAUGCGUGUCUGACAAUGUCAAUCACGUUUCGAAAGGGCUUGAUCGCUUCACCCACAACAUAUUUGAGAUAUUCGGCGAGCUCUGUGAGGAGUUCCUGCUCUGAAGGACAAGAUCGCAGCGGUGCCAUCUUCACCGCCAGUGAAGACCCAACCUGCUGCAACGAUGACCACAGCAAUAUCUUCCAAUCUGCUGGUGUGUACUGUCUCCACUGCUGAUUCGGCGGAAGAUUCAUACAUCGUCGCUACGCCUGCCUCACCACUGGCUUCUAUGACUUCCUCACUGACAAUUGUGGCAGCAUCUUCUCGAGCAGCAUCACUUGUGCUGCUACCCCCCCCCCUCCCUCCCGCAGCACCAUCAACGGCAAUGCCUUCUCCUCCACGAGUGUCGUAUCUGAUUCCGGCCACCACAUCGCGUCCGCCAAUGACAUCUCCACCAACAGCACUGCUACCCUACAACAACCACGCGCGCUGGGGCCACAGUCCUCGCCCGCUGAAGCUAUGACUUGCCAUCCUGCCCGGCGUGCAAACCCACACUUUCCCCUGCCGACGCUGUCCCUAGCGUGCCCACAGAUGGUGUGCCCACAGGCCAGCCAGCCAGCGCCGCCUAUGGCGCGCCCGCGGGCUAGUCGACAGCGGCGCUGCACUUGCCUAUCACGGCUUCGCGAGCGUCCUCGACGCCCGCGGCAUUAGCCUCCUCCCUGGAUGCUCUGCUCUAGCAUGCUCAGGCCUCUCAGCAGCUCAUAGACUCCGCAGACCUCCCGACCUGGUGUAGUCUCCACAUCACCAUCAUGGAUGGGCGCGCUGCUACAGCCGUCCGCGCCCAGAUUAAUGGCCUGCCAACCACACGCGUGGUGCCACACCCGACGCAGCUGGCCGUCAGUCUCCGCCUACAGCUCGUCCAGGCUAUCAACUAUGUUUGCUCAAGUGUGCUUCAUCACCGCCAGGUUCCAGCCACAUAAGGUCUGCAGCUCUAAGCAUUGCCACAGCUUGAGGACAAGCUAUCUUCAAGGGGUGGUGAAGUGUUAUGGCAAGUGGGCUAGCUGCAGGCUUAGGCCCAUGAGCACUGUAGCUCGUGAACAGUGCCAUGAAUAGGAGUAGUUGGUUUGUUAGGAAGGAGAUAGUUAAUGGAUUUGGUUAGAGAUAAGGUUGUUAGAUAGAUAAGGUUGUUUAGAUUAGAUUGAGUCUGUUAGAUGGCUGGCUAUAUAAGCACAACCGUACCAUCCAUUAUAAUCAAGGAAGAAGUAGAGGAUUAAUCUCAGAACCUCCAUCAUGAGGGCGAGAUCCUAUCUACUACCUUCCCUAUCUAUCUUAGUAAAGUAACCAUAUCAAUGCAUUCCGGAGAUGCCUCAGUUUCUUCAUCAUUGGUAGCUGGUAGGGGUCUGCUUUCCACUUUCUUGCAAUUACCUUUCUCAUCCAGUGGCCCUUUCGGUUUGGGAAACUGCUGUUAUCUAAAAUAAGAACAAAAAAGAAUGCAGAACCGAUUCAUUUUGCUUUUAGUUAGAUAAAAUUAAUGUUAACGCACUUCAAAUGUGCUAUAGAACUGCGAUGUUUGUUACUUAAACUUAUCAGCUGGUGCCAUGUACCUGAAGUAGAUAAAUAAACUCAAGAUCAAAUGCCGCAUUUAGAGUUCUUGAAACCUUUAGUCAUGUGGCUCAUUAAGGCCUAAAAUUAAUUUAAGGUGGCGUGGCUUCAUUCAUCAACAAAAAUCUCACCCACUAUUCCUUUGUUCUCAUCACACUAAUCAGCUUCUCUAUUGCCAACAAACAACAACAACGUAGCUUUCAGUCCCAAGCAUGUUGAGAUAGGGUAGAUGUGACGACCGACCCCUAAUCUUCCGAGUUAACCUUAAUCGGAGCCCUUGAUCAUAGUCAUCUGUCUUGUUUUACCGCGCCUGAGUGCUCAGCCUUCAGCCCGAUCCCGACCCCUGAGACCCGACCCCUCCCCGCUUCGCUUCGAUCCCGACCCCGGCGAGCUCAGCCCACCGUCGGAUCCUUCUAAGUCUUCCUCAAACGUCUGUUCUAUCCGCCCGGUGGACCCACGAGAUCUUUUCCCCCAGAUCCUCCGCGACAGGCGCACUCGAGUUGCAUGCCCGCUUCAGAGUCUUCCUACCGCGUGGCUCGUCUUCUCCGACGCCGCCGCUCAGUUUUGUCUCGGGCUAGCGACCGAGUGGAUUCCCACGCCCCCUUCCCCAAUGGCAGCGGAAGCCCCUCUGCAACCUUUCUGCAGAGCCUCGCCUCCCGCGCCCAUCAUCACGCCGCCAGAUCCCGGCCCCAGAGCCCGAUGCCGCCCGUCUUUUCCGUCACUUCGACCACAGUCGCGCCGCCUGGUCUCCGCUACACGACGAUUCCUCCAUCGCCAACCCCGACCGCGGCAGCGACAGCUCCUUUCCCCGCCCUGUUAGAAGCCGCCCGACAAUCUGUUGCUCCGCGCUCGCCCGCGCGCCCGCGGCUGCCUGUCUUCUCACCUGUGCGCCCUCGAUUCUAGCGCCGUUAAACCGGUCGCUUCUAUCAAAUCUUCCGCACGGCGACGCCCGCCUCCGCCAAAUCUCAACCACCGGCAUACCCGCUCCUGCGCCACCCUGACGCCAGAACCCAAUGACCGCUGGCGUCACCCCCGGAGUCCUGCACCACCGCCCUCUUCGCUCAAUCGCCGCCACGGCAGAGCACUCCAUUGCUUCUCCCCGGCCUUCGCGCCGCUCCCCUUCUCUCUCUCCCGCGCCGCUUCCUUUCUCUGUUCCAGCAGCUAUAAAAGGAAUGCACCAGCCGCCGGAGUUCCCUCCUCCAUUGCUGCCUUCAGCCAUUCUCUCGCUCCCUGCUCAAGCUCCUAGCGCCACACACCAAGUUCUUGAGGAACUCUUCUCUCAGCUUCUCCCUCGGUUUUCUUCAAGUCACCCAGCCGCUUGCUCCUCCGUGCUGCGUAAAAGCUUACUUGUGAUCUGCAAGAAGCAUCGCCGCCGCCGAGCAUUGCCGGUCUUAGCCGUUGUUCAAAGCUUUAGUCCCUCCACCCAAGUCUGCCUCUUUCCGACCCCAAGCUUUCCUUUCAGGAAGAAGGUAAGUUGCCGACCCCCAGUCCGCUUCGCCCGACCCCUCUUAUCCGCCCGACCCCGGUUCCGUCUCGCCCGACCCUAUCUGUUCCGCCGACCCUUAUCCGCCUCGCCCGAGGGUUCGGCUGUGAUCUUUUUCUUCAACCCGAGGGUGUAUGUGUAAAAAUUUAGGAACCCUUCAGCGCUUGCGUCUGAGGAUUCCUAGUAUACCACAUCCUCUAGUCCAAGGAUCAGAUCAUAAGUUCUUUUCCGACCCUUGCCUCUUGAUCAUCACCAGCUCUCUUGAACCUCCCUACCCUCCUGCUCUUUGUCGCGAGUUUCUGGGAUCAGGCGAGCCAGUGUUGCUGUUGAAAUAACCGUCUAUGCUGACCUUUGCAUUGCAUUCGUGUAGAGCUGCACCUCGCCGAUGGCUUCUAUGAGCUACACCCGGCGCCAGAAGACGAAGCUGUAGCUGAGCUCCUGCCCGCUGAAGCCGAAGUCGCCCCCGAAGUCGAGCAGUUUCCUUCCUCUUUGCUCGAAGGCAAGCCCCGGUUGCAUGAAAACCCUGCGUGUUUUACCAAACUUGCGCAUGCCUUCUGUAACAUGCUUGUGCAUUUACGUAUAGGAGUUGUUUGAAACCCUAGAUGCAUGACUUAGU